This 346-nucleotide ribosomal RNA is filed under the name Paralamyctes grayi. RNAcentral's name for it is "partial 12S ribosomal RNA". Lineage: Eukaryota; Metazoa; Arthropoda; Chilopoda; Lithobiomorpha; Henicopidae. The record is from RNAcentral.
UUUAUUGUAAAUGAUUGGUUUGAGUAGUAAUAGAGUUCUUGAAMCUAAAAGAGUUUGGCGGUAUUUAAGUCUAUUUAGAGGAAUCUGUAUAUUAAUCGAUAGUCCACGAAUGAUCUUACUUAAAUUUAUUAAGAUAUGUAUAUCGUUGUCAUCAGAAUAAUUUUGUAGAAUGUUUUCUGAGAAUUAAUAAAAUAGUAUGUCAAAUCAAGGUGCAGUUUAUGUUUAAGAUUAUAUGGAUUACAAUAUUGGGGAGUAAAUGAAUAAUGUUUCUGAAAGGAAGGUUUGAAGGUGGAUUUAAUUGUAAUUUUUUAUUAGCAAGAAGAGGUGAAAUGGUACUGAAAUAUGC